CUACCACACAUUUCAAUUUCAUCAAACCACUUGAAGUAGUGACACAUUCCCUAAAUUUUAGUGAAAUUUCCUGAAUGGGAUUGCAUUUUUUCCAGGUGAAUCUAAGAAUUUCUAUGUGGUGGCAAAGGAUGGUGCUCAGUUACUGCCUCCAUAACUCCUAGAGCUAUGCACUAAAGUCAGAAAGUUUCUGGAGAAAUUUUGGACAAUCUUAGGCCAUGUUUGGAGAGUGCAUUUUUCUUGUGGGGCCCUGAUUGAGGUCUUCCAACAAAAAUAAAAUUGAAAAUGCUCAAGGAAUCCAGCUUGAGUGCUCAUAUUGGAAUGUCCAUCCUUGGAAAAUCGCCUGAUUCUGUUAGAAAUUCAGUCUGCUGAUAUCUUAUAGAUGGUAAUCUGCAAUCAUUGGAAAAUAGGGGGGCUAAGCCCUUCCAUAGCAAAAAGUGGAAUUUUUAUCCUCAGCAUGUAAAAGAAUCAAAACCACAAGGGAAAUCAAUCUUGAAAUUGCAAAACGAGGAAUGAUAUUCCAAUCAGCAAAUUAUUCCACUACUAGAAUCCAUAAAACGUUCUCAACUUGUUCAAAAAUUUGGAAAUGCUAGGAGAAAGGUUUGAGGGGUAUUAGAAAUUUAAAGGUUAUAAAGCAAAUUCCUUUGGGAUGAUAUACAAGUGGAUGUAAAUCACUCUUUUGCCUUAUUUUUGUGACAGAUUUUAUAUAGUUAAAAAUGUGAACCUUGGUCAGUUUCCAAAAUGCUAGAGAUUCAACACAACCUUCUCCAUGGAAAUAGAAAGGGCAUUUAACAUUCCAUACAAGCGUAGAUCAAUGCUUUUAAAGGCAAAGGCUUCAAGGAAUUGGCCAAAAGAAUUCCAGGCAUCGAAAAUAUUUUUAUAUUCAAAUAUGUUCUAU
RNAcentral lists this long non-coding RNA (895 nucleotides) under Olea europaea (common olive). Its description in RNAcentral is "long non-coding RNA (OEUR_LNC012754)". The record is from RNAcentral. Lineage: Eukaryota; Viridiplantae; Streptophyta; Magnoliopsida; Lamiales; Oleaceae.